ACCAAACUCAAUGUACCAUUGCCCCGACCCCGGUCCAGUCCAGUCGUUGUCUAAUUUUCCUUUACACUCAUUUUUUCCAGCUCGUUCGCUCGUGCCGAAACGGUGUGCCCCCGUGCGUAGCUUACCCGCUCUGUCGUCGGUACACGCUACAUACGCGCACAUGCACAUGCACUCCAUCCUGCGCCGUCCGUGUUUGACCGUAAACCCUCCCCACCCGUCCACUCAUUUUGUACAUAGAACGUCUGGCGCGACGCGUCGGCGUUCAAUCCCACGUUCCUUUGCUUAGAUCUUCCUCUCGCUCUUUAUUCGCUAGUUUAUACCCUCUCCCAAUGGGCCGGAAGCCUUGCGGGUCAAGGGCGCGUCGUGUACGUCGUGAACGUAGUAAUAGGUACCCUACGCUGUCUGUGUCGGACACGGAAUACACAGGCCUUGUAGUUAC
Molecule: unclassified non-coding RNA, 439 nt
Filed under: Hevea brasiliensis (rubber tree)
Lineage: Eukaryota; Viridiplantae; Streptophyta; Magnoliopsida; Malpighiales; Euphorbiaceae
Source: RNAcentral